Molecule: ribosomal RNA, 1496 nt
Filed under: Nesterenkonia sp. Tibet-IBa2
Lineage: Bacteria; Bacillati; Actinomycetota; Actinomycetes; Micrococcales; Micrococcaceae
Description: bacterial SSU rRNA
Rfam family: Bacterial small subunit ribosomal RNA
Source: RNAcentral
UUAGAGUUUGAUUCCUGGCUCAGGAUGAACGCUGGCGGCGUGCUUAACACAUGCAAGUCGAACGAUGAAGACCGUGCUUGCACGGUUGGAUUAGUGGCGAACGGGUGAGUAUCACGUGAGUAACCUUCCCUUGACUCUGGGAUAAGCCCGGGAAACUGGGUCUAAUACCGGAUACGACCAGUCCUCGCAUGGGGUGCUGGUGGAAAGAUUUAUCGGUCUUGGAUGGACUCGCGGCCUAUCAGCUUGUUGGUGAGGUAAUGGCUCACCAAGGCGAUGACGGGUAGCCGGCCUGAGAGGGUGACCGGCCACACUGGGACUGAGACACGGCCCAGACUCCUACGGGAGGCAGCAGUGGGGAAUAUUGCACAAUGGGCGAAAGCCUGAUGCAGCGACGCCGCGUGCGGGAUGACGGCCUUCGGGUUGUAAACCGCUUUCAGCACGGAAGAAGCGAAAGUGACGGUACCUGCAGAAGAAGCGCCGGCUAACUACGUGCCAGCAGCCGCGGUAAUACGUAGGGCGCGAGCGUUAUCCGGAAUUAUUGGGCGUAAAGAGCUCGUAGGCGGUUUGUCACGUCUGCUGUGAAAGCCCGAGGCUCAACCUCGGGUGUGCAGUGGGUACGGGCAGACUAGAGUGCAGUAGGGGAGACUGGAAUUCCUGGUGUAGCGGUGAAAUGCGCAGAUAUCAGGAGGAACACCGAUGGCGAAGGCAGGUCUCUGGGCUGUUACUGACGCUGAGGAGCGAAAGCAUGGGGAGCGAACAGGAUUAGAUACCCUGGUAGUCCAUGCCGUAAACGUUGGGCACUAGGUGUGGGGGACAUUCCACGUUUUCCGCGCCGUAGCUAACGCAUUAAGUGCCCCGCCUGGGGAGUACGGCCGCAAGGCUAAAACUCAAAGGAAUUGACGGGGGCCCGCACAAGCGGCGGAGCAUGCGGAUUAAUUCGAUGCAACGCGAAGAACCUUACCAAGGCUUGACAUGGACCGGAUCGCUGCAGAGAUGCAGUUUCCCUUCGGGGUCGGUUCACAGGUGGUGCAUGGUUGUCGUCAGCUCGUGUCGUGAGAUGUUGGGUUAAGUCCCGCAACGAGCGCAACCCCUAUCCUAUGUUGCCAGCACGUGAUGGUGGGGACUCAUGGGAGACUGCCGGGGUCAACUCGGAGGAAGGUGGGGACGACGUCAAAUCAUCAUGCCCCUUAUGUCUUGGGCUUCACGCAUGCUACAAUGGCCGGUACAAUGGGUUGCGAUACUGUGAGGUGGAGCUAAUCCCUAAAAGCCGGUCUCAGUUCGGAUCGAAGUCUGCAACUCGACUUCGUGAAGUUGGAGUCGCUAGUAAUCGCAGAUCAGCAACGCUGCGGUGAAUACGUUCCCGGGCCUUGUACACACCGCCCGUCAAGUCACGAAAGUGGGUAACACCCGAAGCCGGUGGCCUAACCCUUGUGGGGGGAGCCGUCGAAGGUGGGACUCGCGAUUGGGACUAAGUCGUACAGGGGUUAACCGGUAAA